AUUUUUGUAAACUUCAGGGUCCAUGCCAUCCAGCUAUGGGGUCAUUUGCUUGUCCGGCUUUCGGUUGAAUAAACCUCCUGGGCUGCCGGACUAUCAAGGCCUGUCCUUUCUAAGCCAUGAAGAGAGCCUUACCUUUUGCAAAUUAUGUUUGUGAAAAUGCCAACAAUGAAAGCUACUCAGUUCCAAUGAUUUUGAGGAUAUUGAAAAUCAUGAACCCUUGGAUGAUGAAAUACCCUGCACUUAUUGUCCCUGUUUUCACGAAGUGACGGAUACGAGGAAAAUCGAAUUUUUUCAAUUUUGAGUUUUUUGCAUUUUUGGAGAUCUUUAAUUCAUAUCUCGAAUUUCAACAAGUUUCAGAUCACAAAAAUGUCUAAUUACGUUGCUAUGACAAUAGUGCACACACGAAAAUACCCAGAUUAAGGAUUUCUUGUUUUUACGAAGUGACGGAUAAGCAGCCGCCAAUUCGUGAAAAUAAACGAAUACGCUUUAUCACUCAAGAGUUUUUUCACCAAAAAUGACGGAUGAGGCUUUGCACGAAGUCCGUCAAUUCGUGAAAUUGUCGCCUGCUCAUUUGUGCCAAUUAUUUGUUUCACGAAGUGACGGAAGGCAAAUAUUUACAGUUUGGAACAGCCGAAGACCAUGAAAUGAUGGAGUAUAUACAGUAAGCAAUGUUUCAGAGAACAAAUGAGAAAAGGCCUGGAACUGGUACACUCACUUUUUAACAACGCUGAUGGUCAGAUACAAUUUCAGGUUGGAUCCAGAGGCCGAUGUGCUUGUCAGAUGGGUCAUUGAUAAUUCCCUGAACACUGCAGAUGUGAUCUGAUUGGUUACAUAACAGUUGAAUUGGUAGUGACUGGAUUUUAACAGUGUGAUCUGGUUUUGAAUUGUUGAAGUAACCAAAGUAGAAACAUCUUCUGAGAACUCUGACUGCAAUUCUGAUGAUGAAAUUCUGUCUACACUUGUGAAAAGUGUGAAGGAGUUGGCUCUGCAUCAUGGCCUUUCAGGGCUCCCACUUAACUUUUUCUUUAGGUUCCAACUGGGUAACUGAUACCAGUUUCAAUUUUCUUGUGAUUUUGACUUCAACAUGAGUUUAGUUUUAAUUUUGAUAGGAUUUUCAAAUCUGGUUUCAUUUUAGAGCAGUGUAUUAUAUAAGGAAACUAUACUGCUUGAACUAGUCUGUGCUCUUACAGUGAUAUAGUUAUGAACUACUUCAAAUAUAUUUUAUAUAUACAGUCAGAUAUAAAGUUCAGAAUAGUCAUUUAUCUGCUAUACUUACCACAUGUUUAAAUUGGUUAUACACAUCGUCCACAUAUGGAUGCAGAAAAAUUACCCUCUUUUUUUGUGUGUUUUGCUUGGUGCCAUCUUAAAACAGAAAUACUGCAUAUUUCUACAUUUUUUUUAACAGAAUGUCACUAGCUUUAUUGUGCUUAAAUGUUAAAACUUCAUACUCUCUAAUAAUAAAGAUAACCAUACAAUUUAGAUUGACAUGCAUUGUGAAACUCGAUUGUUACAGGAUAUAUUACAAGUAAGGAUGUAGGUUGAAAAUUAGAUCAGGUUUUCAUGAAUUCAUUUUCAUAAGCCAGAUGUGUUAAUACAGCCCCCCCCCCCCCCUUUUCCAUGAGUUAAAGUUUUAUUGGUUUAUCAGGGGUGUGAGAAUUCUUAAGCUGAUUUCAGCUAUUUUUGCUUUUUAUUUUCAGCUUUGAGAGCUCAUUCGAUUUGAUCCCCCAACUCUCUCCACCAUUUUCAGGUCUUUAUUUGUCAUCACUCACACACCUGGUUUAUGCAGUUUUACAGUUGGUGUAUCAUCAUUUUAUUCCAGAAUACCUUAAUGAAUGAUAUUCUGGAAAAAAAGAAUACAUGAUUAUUUUUAGCAGACAUUUUACAUUAGCUUGAGGUUAAAGAUACACUGCAGCACAUGUUUUUUUCUGUCUAUUUGUAGUAAGAAUUUCACUUAGUUGGAACUAAGGUGUAUUUUAAUGUAUCUUCCAGUUUUUGGACUCGGGCAAAAUUUUGCCAUGAAAAAGCAAGUGUUUGAUUGGAAAAUGUAUUGAUGAGUGUAUUUAGCCAAUAACUUGAGAAUGAUGGAAAAAUACAAAUCUACUGUAAUAGUCAUUCGUAUUUUUAUCAUUGCAUUUUUUGCUUUUGAUGCUGUCUUUCGGGAUUUUGAUUAUAAAUUUGUUAAUUAAUGAUCCUGUUUGAUAUGAAGUUAAAUUGUUGAUUUAAAAUUAUAUUCCUUGUGUGACUUUCAUUAGUUGAUAAUUGUUUAUUCGAAGGUUUACAUGUUUCCUUUGGUAAAGAUUAGCUUUUAGCACUAGUAGACUUUUUAGUAUUUGACAGUGUGUAAAAAGAUGAAAUAACUCUCAAGGCAAUUGUGUCGACCGAUUUAAUUAUGACAUUGUUUUCAUUAAAAAAAUGCCCAAGUGUAGUGAAUGUAAUAAGUAAUGGUGAUUAUAUUACUUCUAUUUUGAUGGAAAAGAAAUAUACCAUUUUACUUGUAUGUGUAUGUCAAUACAAAUAGACAUUAAAGAAUACAACUUUCCUGCACCACUAACAUUGAUUAUAUUCCAGUAUUCAUUUGUCAUUGGAAUGUUUUGAAUGUAGAAUAAUUUAUUGAAUUUGGUACUUGUUAGCAAUUCUGUAUUUCAAAAUGUGGCAUUCACAGACUAGGAUUGCUGAUUGUGUUAAGCAGGGCAUGAUAAAAUAUAUUGUUGCAUAUAUUCAAGUUUUAUUUAAUGUAUAAAAUGACAAAAUUCUGUCAUUGUGUACCUGAUGAAUCAUUUCCUAUGCAUUUCACAGUGCAAUAUUAGAUUCAUUAUAAUAAUUAUGAAUUUCAAUGUGUUUGUCACUAGCGAUUAUGGUCCUAUAUAAUAUAGAAUUAAAAAAUAUCAAAAAUAUAUUUCCAUUGUUAACAUUGUAUGGAGUUGAUAUUUUAAUGAAUUUAUUAAGCAUAACUUUUAUCAAAUUGAUUGUUAUGAAAAAAAAAUUAUAUUUCAUUUGUCUAUUUGUCAUUUAGUCACUUAUAUUUGAAAAUAUUCUGUUGAUUCAUAGUAAUCCCCAAAGUAUUAAUGAUUGUAUAUUUUUUCAUGCUUUGUGUAUUUGUAUAAUUCUAUUUUGAUAAUGUUAUGUUUCAUAUUUUUUUUAAUGUAAAAGUUCUGUACAAUUCAGCUCUUGCUGCGAACAGUCUUGAAAUAAAAUACCAUUAUUAUCAUUUGCUGCUAUGGUUUCAUGUUAUAGAAUUAAAGGUGUUCUUCUAUAUUUUA
Lytechinus pictus (painted urchin) is the source of this 3260-nucleotide long non-coding RNA. RefSeq lists it as uncharacterized. The record is from RefSeq and is a predicted model, not a curated record. The transcript has 3 exons. Lineage: Eukaryota; Metazoa; Echinodermata; Echinoidea; Temnopleuroida; Toxopneustidae.